GACGAACGCUGGCGGCGUGCUUAACACAUGCAAGUCGUACGGUAAGGCCCUUUCGGGGGUACACGAGUGGCGAACGGGUGAGUAACACGUGAGUAACCUGCCCACAACUUUGGGAUAACGCUAGGAAACUGGUGCUAAUACUGGAUAUGUGCUCCUGCUGCAUGGUGGGGGUUGGAAAGCUCCGGCGGUUGUGGAUGGACUCGCGGCCUAUCAGCUUGUUGGUGGGGUAGUGGCCUACCAAGGCGGCGACGGGUAGCCGGCCUGAGAGGGUGACCGGCCACAUUGGGACUGAGAUACGGCCCAGACUCCUACGGGAGGCAGCAGUGGGGAAUAUUGCGCAAUGGGCGCAAGCCUGAUGCAGCAACGCCGCGUGCGGGAUAACGGCCUUCGGGUUGUAAACCGCUUUCAGCAGGGACGAAGCUUUUUGUGACGGUACCUGCAGAAGAAGCACCGGCUAACUACGUG
Molecule: ribosomal RNA, 465 nt
Filed under: uncultured bacterium
Lineage: Bacteria
Description: partial 16S ribosomal RNA
Rfam family: Bacterial small subunit ribosomal RNA
Source: RNAcentral